MicroRNA precursor from Medicago truncatula (barrel medic), 115 nucleotides. It matches the Rfam family "MIR2593 microRNA precursor family". The record is from Rfam. NCBI's taxonomy places the organism in Eukaryota, Viridiplantae, Streptophyta, Magnoliopsida, Fabales, Fabaceae.
AUAUGAGCAAAAAUUCACCUUUUAGAUACAUUCAAUUAAUGAUGUAUUUGAUAUAUAAUAAAGACCACAUACAUCAUUAAUUGAAUGUAUCUAAAAAGUGAAUUUUUGCUUAUAU